This 132-nucleotide small RNA is filed under the name Escherichia coli. RNAcentral's name for it is "RtT sRNA". It matches the Rfam family "RtT RNA". Rfam says of the family: This family represents a bacterial cis-regulatory element known as RtT RNA. The exact function of RtT is unknown although it is thought that it may be involved in changing the cellular response in relation to amino acid starvation. The record is from RNAcentral. Lineage: Bacteria; Pseudomonadati; Pseudomonadota; Gammaproteobacteria; Enterobacterales; Enterobacteriaceae.
GUUUGCACUCAUCGGGGAAGGGUGAGAACCUUCGACUAAGGUUCGAUUCGAGCGAAAGCGAGAGAACGUUGCCACAGGCAACGACCCGAAGGGUGAGGAGCGAAGCGACGAAUAAUCCUUCCCCCACCACCA